RNAcentral lists this long non-coding RNA (1133 nucleotides) under Delphinapterus leucas (beluga whale). RNAcentral describes it as "lncRNA (ENSDLEG00000000115.1)". Lineage: Eukaryota; Metazoa; Chordata; Mammalia; Artiodactyla; Monodontidae. The record is from RNAcentral.
GUCUUAGUUGCAACAUGCAGGAUCUUUCCAUGCGGCGUAUGGGCUUCUCUCUAGUUGUGGCACGUGGGCUCCAGAGCAUGCGGGCUCUCUAGCUGAGGUGCAUGGGCUCAGUAGUUGUGGCAUGCGGUCUUAGUUGCCCCGCAGCAUGUGGGAUCUUAGUUCGCUGACCAGGGAUCGAACCAGCGUCCUGCUGCAUUGGAAGGCGGAUUCUUUACCACUGGACCACCAGGGAAAUCCCUCUUUAAAAUUUUUUAAUGCUGGAUGUCAGGUACUUUUCUCAACCACGUGGUAAUCCUUACUUUCAGUCAUGAGUUAGAGCCUGCCGACUGAUGGAUUUCAGAAGCAAUCUUUUCUCUAGGACACCCCCAGAUUUCUAUUCUCUUUGCUCUUUAGUUUCUCCUUAGAGGACUCCUCCAGUUUCCUGCCUGUGAAGGUUAUGUGUUGAGUUGCUGGAGACUGGUACCAGGAUAGGGAAAGAAGCUUAAGAAGAUUUCAGACUGUGGUUAUUACUCAUUCUAACUGUGUCUGUCUGCCCUUCUUUGUGCAUCCUCUACAUCUUCUCAAAAUCAAUUUAUCCAGAGAUCAAAUGUAUUUUUUAGACAAGGGAGAAAAGUUAACUGUAGAGGGGGAAGAUCAGGGCAAUGAGUUUGUGUAUAAAUUUUCAACCAGUCCUCUACUUCCAGAUCCAUAGCUCACCAAGGUCCUUUUCUGUGGAACCUGGGCCCUUCAGGGAAGUUGUAAAUUGGUCAUAAUCUCUUUCAUACCAGAGUUCCUUGAAUUUUCUUAUUUUUUGUAGUUUUGUCUUCACAUUUGUUGUUGUCAUUGUUAUUUUCAUCUCUUUUUGGAUAGUGAUGGGAAAUAAAUGCAUGUGACCUACUCACUGUAUGUAAGCAAAAGUCUACCCUUGCUCUUUUCAAAUGACAAGAUUUUGGUCAUUUUUUAAAAAACUAGUUUUGGUUGUACAGUUGACCCUUGAAAUACACUGGGGUUGGGGCCCUGACCCUCUGUACAAUUGAAAAUUUGUGUAUAACUUUACAGUUGGUCUUCCAUAUUCACAUCCUAGGUCCCACAUCUGAGGAUUCAAUCAACUGCAAAUAAUGUAGUACUAUAGCACGUAUUUAUUGAAAAAAUCC